Molecule: long non-coding RNA, 554 nt
Organism: Erythranthe guttata (spotted monkey flower)
Lineage: Eukaryota; Viridiplantae; Streptophyta; Magnoliopsida; Lamiales; Phrymaceae
Source: RefSeq, a predicted model, not a curated record
UUCUCUUUCGGCAGAAAGAAAAAUCCACCCCCAACCCAGUUACUGCGCCACCACCCACGAGGAGCACGAUUGUGGAUUUUCAAUCCUCAAUGCUAACCUGCGCAAUUAGAAGCGCUACCAACUCGUCCUUGCCAGAUUUGAAGAGAGCUAUUUAGGGAUCCACGAGAGGCGGCUGAAGUUUUUCAUGGAUGCGCACGAGGAGUUCAUCAACUGGGAGUUAUUUUGUAUUACCUUGGAUAUUUAAUCAUUUAUGAGAACCAAUGCACAAGUACAUUUCUUCGGGAUAAACAUGUGACUGACUAGCAAUUGAAGCCCUACAAGUUUAGCUAUGAGGGUGAUUUCAAAGAUGAAAGUAGGAAAAUGAUCAAAUCACAAUGGAAAAGAACAAAAUUUGAGAACGAAACAAGCUGUGGUAGUGUGCAAGUGUUAUCUAGAGGCUAGAGGUCUGUUCUAUAUGUUAUAGGUUUGCCAAGAUAUAUUAGUUGGAUUUUGUAUCUCAUGGAAAUACAUUGUAUUAAUUAUUGAUUAUUAAUAAAUGAAUUACAUUUUAUUUA